CAUAAAAUUAAAACCACUAUAAACACAGGACUAAAAUGAGAUCUGACCUCAAACACUGAACCGAAACAAACCUCAACUGAACCAGCACCCAAAUGGAACCAAGUGAAUGGAUACACAUAUAAAAGAAUAGGCAUAUAAACAUAUAGAGACACCCACAACCGGGGGCCAAAAACUACACAUAAACAAAUAAAAGAUCUUAUAUAGCAAACAAAACAGACAUAAGCUCUGAACCCGCCAAAAAACCCCGAACCAAAUAGGAGGCUUAUGGGAAAACUUUACAGAUAUAAUAGGACAUAACAAUAUAACAUUAAUCUUUAACAUGUCAGGACCUGCCUUCUUAUGUUAUCAUUGAAAGCAGAUGUCCUUAAACCUGAGCACAGGUUGAAAUUUAGUGGGAUUGACCUUUAACAAGAGGAGAUGUGGCAAGCAGAUAAAGCCACACCCACCGUGAGAAAAAAUGGAACUGACAACUGAACUAAGGCCACUCCGGUGAACAGACAACUCAGUCAGGGUACCAAACGUCUCAGAACCAAACCUAACAGAACAAUGCCCCACAACCAAAAUACUUCACCAAAACCAAAAUUGAACAUAAACUGCACUCUCUAACCUAAACACAAAUUAAUAUACACCCCCGGGACCAUCUCUAUCCCACUACCCCUACCCUGACCCUAACCACUCGACAUCUCAGGCCCUAAACAUAACCUCAAGCCGCCCACUCGUGUUACCCUGGCCCUAAACUUAACCAUCAAAGACUUAAUGCCAAAUCUCAACCCUCACACCCUAACCCAUACCCCUACCCUGACACUAACCACUCCACAUCUCUGGCCCUAAACAUAACCUCAAGCCGCCCACUCGUGUUACCCUGGCCCUAAACUUAAUCAUCAAAGACUUAAUGCCAAAUCUCAACCCUCACACCCCAAUCCAUACCCCUACCCUGACACUAACCACUCCACAUCUCUGGCCCUAAACAUAACCUCAAACCUUAAGCCACCUAUUUGCAUUACCCUGGUCCUAACCUUAACCAUCUGGAACUUGAGGCCCAAUCUCAACCCUCACACCCCAACCCUACCUAAGGCCAACCCAUAUCCCUACCCUGACCCUAACCAUUCCACAUCUCUGGCCCAUCUGUGAUACCGUGGCCCCAACCUUAACCACUCGGGACUCAAUGUCUAAACCAUAACCCCUGGCCACCUGACUCAAAUUUUGACCAAUCUAAACCUAACAAGGUCAAACCCUAAUCAAGGACCCAGAUCCCAUAAUCCGCACCCCAACUCUGAAGGUUAUUGUACAUUUAUUUUCUGUGCAAAAAGGAGCAAUCUCUACACAGAGUGUCAACGCAGUCUGAGGGGGAAAAGGCUCAAUGAACUGAAUAUGACAGCACAUCUUCUUACAGUAUAUUAUAACGGAUGUCCAAACAGAUAAGGGGAACACAUUACCUUUUAAAUCAAGAGAUCAUCCCUCUGCCCAGGUCACAUCAGUUUCAAUAGUCACAAGUUGUUUUUGACAGCUUUUCCAUGGCCCCCAUUCGCUCACAUAGCUAUGCAGCGUUUUACCCCCUCUCAGACAUGUCGUUUUUCCAUCUGCAUUCAUAGAUGAUGACAUAGCACCUGUUUUUGGAGAUAAAUGUAACAAGAUCUCUGUCACAAUGUAUUUGUAAGAGACAGCAGAACCGCUGUCUCAUCAUCAACGACAAACACUAGGCUUACAGACAACAGCCACAAAUUCCAUUAUAAAUAGUGCUUGUUUAAAGAGUGUUUUGAGGGUGUGCAGACACGUACAUCAGCAUGGAUCCAGGUAGCCUCUGAAAAAGAAAUGCGUUUAUUUUCUGUUUUACUAAAAAAAACUGUGUUAAUGCGAUCAUUUUCAUACACAUUAGCGUGAGCAUAUCACAACAUUAACUCUGUGCGUCUUGAAGAAUAAGUUCGUAAAUAUUCCGCUACAUUUUUUAUCCUUUUGUAUAUUCGUUUUCUUUUUUCUGAAAAACUGUUUUAUACUGGUCAGACAGCUAUUUGAGGGUGUAUGAGCAAACUUUGCGUCAACAACAACAAGGGUUGGUGCACCACCGAGGCAGGACCGUGGGGCAUUCGGAAGCCGGCAUUCAGCGUCAACCACCCCUAACUGGCCUGGCUUUGGAAAUUCCUGACUGUGUAUUACUGCAAUGCGACCCCGGCUCUAACGCCGACCCGGAAGAACAGCAGCAGCUGAAUCAAAAAGGGCUGGGGCCUCCAAGGCAAUGAGGAGCAACAACAACUAGGAAUUCAGACAGCGCCGCUUCAAGAUGACCCAGAGCAACCGGAUCAGGACCGACAAGUGACCCCUGAAGAAUCUGCACUGUUGCAGCUUGAGGAAUGAUGCUUGAGCAGGACUUUGGGCAGACCAAGUCACACAAAAUGCCAGCGUUCUUCCUCUUCUGAUUCUUCAUCAGAUUCCAGCUCUCGUCGGAGGAGGAGCAGGAGGCGUACGCACGUCUGUAGAUGUUCUGGAAGAGGAGACCUCGGUCGUGAUGACAGAAGCUUCAUCCCCGAUGCGAGGUGUCAUUCCAACAUCAUGCUGAUGCAUCUCAACCGGUUAUUUUGUGAAUCCUUUCAAGUGAUGGGUGAUAUUCUUGCUUGUUACAACAACAGUGUGAUUAAAAAGUAAGAUGGAUGAUGAUAACUAUGAUGUGAAUGAUGUGUCCAGGAAUGAGAGUGUUGAUGCGGUUCAUUUUGAUUGAUUAGACACGUUAAUCAGUCGAUUGUUGAUAAACCAUUCCUCAAUGUUAUUGACAAUGUUU
This is a long non-coding RNA of Monopterus albus (swamp eel), 2773 nucleotides long. RefSeq lists it as uncharacterized. The transcript is spliced from 4 exons. The record is from RefSeq and is a predicted model, not a curated record. NCBI's taxonomy places the organism in Eukaryota, Metazoa, Chordata, Actinopteri, Synbranchiformes, Synbranchidae.